UUUCCGUAGGUGAACCUGCGGAAGGAUCAUUACAGUGCCAGCGGCCGCCGCGUCCGUCUCUCCCCAAAGGAGGGCGGCCGGCGUCCGCUACAGGCCCCCACACUUGUCUACCGAUCCCGUUGCCUCGGCGGGCCCGCCGUUAGGUCGGCCGCCGGGGGGGAGUAAACAUCCCCUCUGGCCAGCGCCCGCCGGAGGACCGAAUCAAAAACAUCUGUCAGUCAAUGCAGUCUGAGCGAGAAUCGCAAAUCAGUUAAAACUUUCAACAAUGGAUCUCUUGGUUCCG
RNAcentral lists this unclassified non-coding RNA (283 nucleotides) under soil metagenome. RNAcentral describes it as "partial contains small subunit ribosomal RNA, internal transcribed spacer 1, and 5.8S ribosomal RNA". The record is from RNAcentral.